GUGUUGUAUGCAAGGAGAGAAGGUUAGCACUCCCCUUGACAAGAAUGGAAGAGGCCUACGGGCCUUACAACAUGCAUACGGAUAAGGCAUUGUCACCUACUUUGUGGCAUCUAACCACUGUUUGGG
Small nuclear RNA from Loxodonta africana (African savanna elephant), 126 nucleotides. The record is from Ensembl. Lineage: Eukaryota; Metazoa; Chordata; Mammalia; Proboscidea; Elephantidae.